RNAcentral lists this ribosomal RNA (301 nucleotides) under uncultured bacterium. RNAcentral describes it as "partial 16S ribosomal RNA". It matches the Rfam family "Bacterial small subunit ribosomal RNA", at positions 509 to 807 of the family's 1533-position model. The record is from RNAcentral.
CAGUCGCCGCGGGAAUACGUAGGGUGCGAGCGUUAAUCGGAAUUACUGGGCGUAAAGCGUGCGCAGGCGGUUUUGUAAGACAGAGGUGAAAUCCCCGGGCUCAACCUGGGAACUGCCUUUGUGACUGCAAGGCUAGAGUACGGCAGAGGGGGAUGGAAUUCCGCGUGUAGCAGUGAAAUGCGUAGAUAUGCGGAGGAACACCGAUGGCGAAGGCAAUCCCCUGGGCCUGUACUGACGCUCAUGCACGAAAGCGUGGGGAGCAAACAGGAUUAGAUACCCGAGUAGUCCCUGUCUCUUAUAC